This 400-nucleotide ribosomal RNA is filed under the name uncultured bacterium. RNAcentral describes it as "bacterial SSU rRNA". It matches the Rfam family "Bacterial small subunit ribosomal RNA", at positions 356 to 773 of the family's 1533-position model. The record is from RNAcentral.
GGGGAAUAUUGGACAAUGGGCGCAAGCCUGAUCCAGCCAUGCCGCGUGAGUGACGAAGGCCUUAGGGUUGUAAAGCUCUUUUGGCGGGGACGAUAAUGACGGUACCCGCAGAAUAAGCCCCGGCUAACUUCGUGCCAGCAGCCGCGGUAAUACGAAGGGGGCUAGCGUUGUUCGGAAUUACUGGGCGUAAAGCGCACGUAGGCGGAUUUGUUAGUCAGGGGUGAAAUCCCGGGGCUCAACCUCGGAACUGCCUUUGAUACUGCAAGUCUUGAGUCCGGAAGAGGUGAGUGGAAUUCCUAGUGUAGAGGUGAAAUUCGUAGAUAUUAGGAAGAACACCAGUGGCGAAGGCGGCUCACUGGUCCGGUACUGACGCUGAGGUGCGAAAGCGUGGGGAGCAAAC